GGAAGCAUUCAAGCCAGAAGGGGUUCAGAGAGCUCUGCCUAGCAAUGCAAGCAGCAAGCUUUUACAGGCUGAACACAGAAGCAAAGUAGAGAAAUCACCUGAUUGGUUACAGGAUGCAAGAGAAGAUAAGGAAGACAAGAUCUCAACCACUUUCAGCAAAGCUUUGCGGAGAAUGCAACAUCCUUCAAGACACCAUGAAGCUCCACGCAUCUGGUCAUCUUGUUUCUUCAGGGAAUAAAUUUAUUGUUCUCUGCUUCAGGGAAAAGCAGUUACAAAGUUUCCAACCAGCACAAAUUCCAUAGUCAGGUUUUCCACAUGUGGGGAAAUGACAGGGGUCAGCACAUCCAACGUGCAAUGGACAAGCCUUGCACUGGGUAAACCACGUUCAUGGUCAUGGAAUCUCAUUUACCAGAACUAGAAACAACUAUUUUAAAUUUCAUAUGGAACCAAAAAAGAGCUCGAAUAGCCAUGGCAAUCCUAAGCAAAAAGAACAAAGCUGGAGGCAUCAAGUUACCUGACUUCAAACUAUACUACAAGGCUACAGUAACCAAAACAGCAUGGUACUGGUACAAAAACAGACACACAGACGAACACAACAGAAUUGAGAGUCCAGAAAUAAUGCUACAGACCAACAACCAUCUGAUCUUUGAUAAAGUUGACAAAAACAAUGGAGAAAUAACUCCCUAUUCAACAAAUGGUGCUGGGAUAACUGGCUAGCCAUAUGCAGAAGAUUGAAACUGGACUCCUUCCUUACACCAUAUAUAAAAAUUAACUCAAGAUGGAUUAAAGACUUAAAUGUAAAACCCCAAACCAUAAAAACCCUGGAAGAUAAUCUAGCAACUACCAUGGUGGACAUAGAACCUGGCAAAGAUUUCAUGACAAAGACACCAAAAGCAAGUGUGACAAAAUAAAAAAUGGACACAUGGGACCAAAUUAAACUAAAGAGCUUCUGCACAGCAAAAGAAACUAUCAACAGAGCAAACAGACAACCUACAGAGUGGGAGAAAGUAUUUGUAAACUAUGCAUACAACAAAGGUCUAAUAUCCAGAAUCUGUAAGGAACUUAAACAAAUCAACAAGCAAAAAACAAAUCCCAUUAAAAAGUGGGCAAAGGACAGAAUAGACACUCUCAGAAGAUACACAUGUAGUCAACAAGCAUAUGAAAAAAUGUUCAACAUAACUAGUCAUUACAGAAAGGUAAAUCAAAACCAGGAUGAGAUGCCAUCUCACACCAGUCAGAAUGGCUAUUAAUAAAAAGUAAAAAAAUAA
Molecule: long non-coding RNA, 1268 nt
Organism: Homo sapiens (human)
Lineage: Eukaryota; Metazoa; Chordata; Mammalia; Primates; Hominidae
Source: Ensembl